Molecule: unclassified non-coding RNA, 117 nt
Organism: Callithrix jacchus (white-tufted-ear marmoset)
Lineage: Eukaryota; Metazoa; Chordata; Mammalia; Primates; Cebidae
Rfam family: Metazoan signal recognition particle RNA
About the family: The signal recognition particle (SRP) is a universally conserved ribonucleoprotein.
Source: Ensembl
GCUGGGCGUGGUGGCUCACGCCUGUAAUCCCAGCACUUUGGGAGGCUGAGGUGGGUGGAUCACCUGAGGUCAGGAGUUCUAGACCAGCCUGACCAAUAUGAUGAAACCCCAUCUCUA